This 1239-nucleotide ribosomal RNA is filed under the name Corynebacterium testudinoris. Its description in RNAcentral is "bacterial SSU rRNA". It matches the Rfam family "Bacterial small subunit ribosomal RNA", at positions 202 to 1472 of the family's 1533-position model. Lineage: Bacteria; Bacillati; Actinomycetota; Actinomycetes; Mycobacteriales; Corynebacteriaceae. The record is from RNAcentral.
GCUCAUAUACAGCCUUGUUUGUGGGGUAUGCUACAGGCUCGACGGUAGCGCUGAGAAGGGUGGAACGCCACCAUGGACUGAAGAAUACCGUCCAAGAACUCGUACGGGAGGCAGCAGUGGGGGAAUAUUUGCACCAUGGGCGGAAGCCUUGAUGCAGCGACGCCCGCGUGGGGGAUGACCGGCCUUCCGGGUUGUUAAACCUCUUCGCCGGGGACGAAGCCUUUGUUGGUGACCGGUACCCGGGAUAAGAAGCACCGGCUAACUACGUGCCAGCAGCCGCGGUAAUACGUAGGGUGGCGAGCGUUUUCCGGAAUUACUGGGCGUAAAGAGCUCGUAGGUGGUUUGUCGCGUCGUCUGUGAAAUUCCGGGGCUUAACUUCGGGCGUGCAGGCGAUACGGGCAAUACUUGAGUGCUGUAGGGGAGACUGGAAUUCCUGGUGUAGCGGUGAAAUGCGCAGAUAUCAGGAGGAACACCGAUGGCGAAGGCAGGUCUCUGGGCAGUAACUGACGCUGAGGAGCGAAAGCAUGGGUAGCGAACAGGAUUAGAUACCCUGGUAGUCCAUGCCGUAAACGGUGGGCGCUAGGUGUAGGGGUCUUCCACGACUUCUGUGCCGUAGCUAACGCAUUAAGCGCCCCGCCUGGGGAGUACGGCCGCAAGGCUAAAACUCAAAGGAAUUGACGGGGGCCCGCACAAGCGGCGGAGCAUGUGGAUUAAUUCGAUGCAACGCGAAGAACCUUACCUGGGCUUGACAUACACCGGAUCGGGCUAGAGAUAGUCUUUCCCUUGUGGCUGGUGUACAGGUGGUGCAUGGUUGUCGUCAGCUCGUGUCGUGAGAUGUUGGGUUAAGUCCCGCAACGAGCGCAACCCUUGUCUUAUGUUGCCAGCACGUGAUGGUGGGGACUCAUGAGAGACUGCCGGGGUCAACUCGGAGGAAGGUGGGGAUGACGUCAAAUCAUCAUGCCCCUUAUGUCCAGGGCUUCACACAUGCUACAAUGGUCGGUACAACGCGUCCGCGACACUGCGAGGUGGAGCUAAUCGCUGAAAGCCGGCCUCAGUUCGGAUUGGGGUCUGCAACUCGACCCCAUGAAGUCGGAGUCGCUAGUAAUCGCAGAUCAGCAACGCUGCGGUGAAUACGUUCCCGGGCCUUGUACACACCGCCCGUCACGUCAUGAAAGUUGGUAACACCCGAAGCCAGUGGCCCAACCCUUGUGGGGGAAGCUUUACUUUUUAGUUUUUCGC